Long non-coding RNA from Chiloscyllium plagiosum (whitespotted bambooshark), 1743 nucleotides. RefSeq lists it as uncharacterized. NCBI's taxonomy places the organism in Eukaryota, Metazoa, Chordata, Chondrichthyes, Orectolobiformes, Hemiscylliidae. The record is from RefSeq and is a predicted model, not a curated record.
UUUGCCUGUUACAGAGUCACCCAGCACGGAACACACUGUAGGAUCUGGGCCUAAACAGUUUUCACUGCGACUGAAUCCAAUCACAAAUUCAAACCUACUGAACUGUAGGUUUUUCAAAUGGUGGAUAAGGCUAAAUCCUGAAAGGUCUCUUCAAGGCAAUGGAGAAUCCUGUAUUUCGUAAUAAACAACAGCAGUGGGAGUGGUGACAGUGAGGAUCAGGGGCUGCCAGGCUGGUAAAUUUCCCAAUUAAAUAAUUACUUCAUGGAAUCAGUGGCCUCCAUUUUGCAGCAUUAGCAGGAGCGAUGAGAAUGAGGAACUGAGUGAGAGCGGUCAAAUUGCACACUGGGAAGGAGCAAAAGACUGUUUGACUAGGUGGGAUGGAGGGACAUGUCACUGGAGGCAGAUGAUAAUACCCCCAGAUACAGCAACCUUUUUAAAGCCAAAAAUUGAACAGUGAGAUGAUUUAAAAUACCCUGUAGGAAACAGCUCAGCCACUGUAUCACCACCACCUGUCAGAUGCUACCAGAUCUGCCAUGUGUGUUCAGCACUUACUGCUUUUAUAUCAGAUUUCCAGCAUUUGCUGUAUUUUGCUCUUAUUUAAAUGGUCAAGAUCCUUAGUCCAUCAUGUAAGGCACUUUGAAAAGCUGACAAGAAAUUCCUCAGAUGCUAUUAGUCAGGUAAGAUGGGUGACAAUGACUGCCCUCGAUAAUAAAACAAUAUAUGCAUCCCGAGAAAAAGCUCGAGUCAAUGGAAAUCAGAAGGAAAUUUGUCUGUUGUUGGAGACAUACCUGACACAAAAGAAAAGAAUGGUAGUUGAUUUCAGCUCUGUGAUAGCCUGCAGGAGUUCCGGAGGAUAGUAUCUGAGGCCCAAGCAUCAUUAGUUGCUCCAUCAAUGACCUUCCCUGCAUCAUCCGCACAGAAAUGGGUAUGUUUGCUGAUGAUUGCAUAAUGUUCAGCAACAUUCAUGACCCCUGAAGAAGUCCACAUAUACAUGCGGCAAGACCUAGACAAUAUCCUGGCUUGAGCUGAUGAGUAGGAAGAAAUAUCUCCAAAAAGAGAGAAUCUAGCCAUCUGCUUUUGACAUUCAAUCUCAUCAUCAUCAUCAUCACCACUCCACACAAUGGAGAUCCCAUUGACCAAAGUUGAACUUGGCGAGACACAUGAAAAUAGUGGCUACCGGAAAGUGGCUACAAAUCCUACAAGGAGGAACUCACCUCCUGACUCACCAAAGCCAAUCCACCAUCUACAAGACCACAAUUUAGGAAUGUUAUUGAAUACUCCCCACUUGCUUGGAUAAGCGAAGCUGCAACAAUGCUCAAGAAUCUUGACUGCAUCCAUGACAACGCAAGCCAUUUGAUUGCCACCACAUUCAGAAUCACCUCUGACAUUCAACAGCAACAGUGCGUAGCAUCUUCAGGAAAUUCAAUCUAGCUUCUUAAACAGAACCUUCCUAAUCCAUGACCAUUUCCAUCCAGAGGAUCCAGCAAGUUCCCCUUUCAGCCGCUCACUGUUCUGAUUUGGAAAUAUAUCACCACUCCUUCAGUGUCUCUGGGUCAAAGUCAGCAGCUUCUCAAAUUUAAUUUGAGAUAGAGUCUACAACAUGGAAACAGACCAUUUGAUCCAAACUGUAAAUGUGGCCAGCAACAUUUCCUAAACUAACCUAAUACCAUUUGCCUGUGUUUAGUCCAUAUACCUCUAAAUCUUUCCUAUUCAUGUACCUGGCCAAAUGUCUUUUCAAUGUUA